UACAGAGGUCUCAAGCGUUGUUCGGAUUCAUUGGCCAUAAAGGGUGUGUAGGUGGCGCCGUAAGUCGGGUGUGAAAUUUCGGAGCUUAACUCCGAAACUGCAUUCGAUACUGCGGUGCUUGAGGACUGGAGAGGAGACUGGAAUUCAUGGUGUAGCAGUGAAAUGCGUAGAGAUCAUGAGGAAGACCAGUGGCGAAGGCGGGUCUCUGGACAGUUCCUGACACUGAGACACGAAGGCCAGGGGAGCAAACGGG
Molecule: ribosomal RNA, 253 nt
Filed under: uncultured bacterium
Lineage: Bacteria
Description: partial 16S ribosomal RNA
Rfam family: Bacterial small subunit ribosomal RNA
Source: RNAcentral